Molecule: long non-coding RNA, 438 nt
Filed under: Actinidia chinensis (golden kiwifruit)
Lineage: Eukaryota; Viridiplantae; Streptophyta; Magnoliopsida; Ericales; Actinidiaceae
Description: long non-coding RNA (ACHI_LNC000977)
Source: RNAcentral
UUCGGCUGUUUUGAUGGAAACAAAAGGAAAUUUUGUUCCUUGGUUGUGGUUCCCUGCUUUCCUACCAGACGAAGUUGAGUCUGCGUUCUCGGUAGUUGAUUCCUAGCCCCCAGUUUGACUCACUUCUCUUUCCUUAUGAUAGUACUUACCACUUCUAUCAGCCCAUUGCUUGAGAGGAAAGUCUACGGUUAUCAUAUAAUUGACAGUUCAUGUUAAUAGUUCUUCAGGCCUGAUAGAAGAAUGUUUAUCUCCUGAAGCCGUAGCCAUAUUGUGCUGGUUAAAUUUAGUGCCUGAAGGCUGACCUGGAUGAGUUCGGUAACUGUUUGCCUGAUAUUUACGGCGUUUUAUUGUGUUAAUAGUUGUACAUAUACACAUGUGUAAUAAGCAUACCUGAUCAUUUCAUAACUGUGUAAUUAGAGUAACAAUGGACAAUGUAGU